UACGGAGGGUGCGAGCGUUAAUCGGAAUUACUGGGCGUAAAGCGUACGCAGGCGGUUUGUUAAGCGAGAUGUGAAAGCCCCGGGCUCAACCUGGGAAUUGCAUUUCGAACUGGCGAACUAGAGUCUUGUAGAGGGGGUAGGAAUUCCAGGUGUAGCGGUGAAAUAGCGUAGAGAUCUGGAGGAAUACCGGUGGCGAAGGCGGCCCCCUCGGACAAAGACUGACGCUCAGGCACGAAAGCGUGGGGAGCAAACAGGAUUAGAUACCCCCUGUAGU
RNAcentral lists this ribosomal RNA (274 nucleotides) under uncultured bacterium. RNAcentral describes it as "partial 16S ribosomal RNA". It matches the Rfam family "Bacterial small subunit ribosomal RNA", at positions 524 to 794 of the family's 1533-position model. The record is from RNAcentral.